Molecule: ribosomal RNA, 200 nt
Filed under: uncultured bacterium
Lineage: Bacteria
Description: partial 16S ribosomal RNA
Rfam family: Bacterial small subunit ribosomal RNA
Source: RNAcentral
UACGUAGGGAGCAAGCGUUGUUCGGAUUUACUGGGCGUAAAGGGCGCGUAGGCGGCGCGGUAAGUCAGCUGUGAAAUCUCCGAGCUUAACUCGGAACGGCCAGCUGAUACUGCAGUGCUAGAGUGCAGAAAGGGCAAUCGGAAUUCUUGGUGUAGCGGUGAAAUGCGUAGAUAUCAAGAGGAACACCUGAGGCGAAGGCG